The sequence is a transfer RNA, 145 nucleotides long. It matches the Rfam family "tRNA". From Rfam's summary of the family: Transfer RNA (tRNA) molecules are approximately 80 nucleotides in length. The record is from Rfam.
GGGGACGUAGCUUAGUGGUAAAGCUCACAAUAGAUAGCGGCUGGGUACAGGUUGACCAAAACUGGAUGGCACUGAGCUGCCUGGAUCGAUCUGUAUUCCGGUAGCACUGAAUUGUGGAUCGCUGAUUCGAAUCCAGCCGUCUCCA